UACGAAGGGGGCUAGCGUUGUUCGGAAUUACUGGGCGUAAAGCGUGCGCAGGCGGCUUCUCAAGUCAGGGGUGAAAGCCCAGAGCUCAACUCUGGAAUUGCCUUUGAGACUGAGUGGCUUGAGUACGAGAGAGGCGAGUGGAAUUCCCAGUGUAGAGGUGAAAUUCGUAGAUAUUGGGAAGAACACCAGGGGCGAAGGCGGAUCGCUGGGCCAGCACUGACGCUGAUGUGCGAAAGCUAGGGGAGCAAACGGG
This 253-nucleotide ribosomal RNA is filed under the name uncultured bacterium. RNAcentral describes it as "partial 16S ribosomal RNA". It matches the Rfam family "Bacterial small subunit ribosomal RNA", at positions 524 to 776 of the family's 1533-position model. The record is from RNAcentral.